ACGAACGCUGGCGGCGUGCUUAACACCUGCCAGUCGAACGGAAAGGCCCCUUUGGGGGUACUCGAGUGGCGAACGGGUGAGUAACACGUGAGUAACCUGCCCUUGACUUCGGGAUAACUUCAGGAAACUGGGGCUAAUACCGGAUAGGAAUCCUUGCUGCAUGGUGGGGGUUGGAAAGCUUCGGCGGUUUUGGAUGGACUCGCGGCUUAUCAGCUUGUUGGUGGGGUAGUGGCUUACCAAGGCUUUGACGGGUAGCCGGCCUGAGAGGGCGACCGGCCACAUUGGGACUGAGAUACGGCCCAGACUCCGACGGGAGGCAGCAGUGGGGAAUAUUGCACAAUGGGCGGAAGCCUGAUGCAGCAACGCCGCGUGCGGGAUGACGGCCUUCGGGUUGUAAACCGCUUUCAGCAGGGGCGAAGCUUGUGGUGACGGUACCUGCAGAAGAAGCACCGGCUAACUACGUG
Molecule: ribosomal RNA, 464 nt
Filed under: uncultured bacterium
Lineage: Bacteria
Description: partial 16S ribosomal RNA
Rfam family: Bacterial small subunit ribosomal RNA
Source: RNAcentral